CUCUAUGUUUGGAUUCUUUGUUCAGGCCAUUGUUACUGGAAAGGGUCCAUUAGAGAACCUCGCUGACCACCUUGCAGACCCAGUCAACAACAACGCCUGGUCUUACGCCACAAACUUUGUUCCCGGAAAAUGAGUAUCAUAAAACUUUCUCAAAAAGUUUGAUUGUUUGAUGGCCUUGUAAAGUUGUAAUUGUGAGUUUACUAGACAAUAGAAUGGAUUUUUCUUAUAUUCUAAUUAUGGUGUAGUCUAUAAUUUCACUUUCCAAUGGCAUGAAUGAAAUACUGCAAGUUUCAUAUCGAAAGGGAAUAAGAUGACUGAGCAGAAAAAAAAACAAGAUACAUUUGGGAUGUAGUAAAAGCUUAAAACUUGAAUAUACAGACCACCAGAGGAACUUAUGGAAUGCAAUCACUUCUCAAGAAGCAAUACUCUAACUUAGGGCCAAGAAUAAAAUGAUGCUAUUAACAAUGAUUCCUUACUUUUCUGUCGAGAAGUGAGCUGAAUGAAGAGGACAUAUGUUAUUUCACCACUACGUAAGCCACUGACAUUUCAAUGAUGAGGGAAAACCAAUGUAUAUGUUUUGUAAUCAGAAGGCAUCAAGAACUCUCUCCGUUUCAAUUUAUUCAGUCUUACUCUUCUUUUUAAGUCUCUUUAAGAAAGAAUGUUUCACUCCUUUUUCGAGAAUUCCUUAAUUUUAACUUUUCACUUAACCUGUGUAAGGCCACAACAGUAAAUAACGUUUUAAUACAUUCUAUAUAUCUUUAAGUUUAAAACCACAAGAUUCACGAGUUUCUUUUACUUUCUUAAAUUCCGUGUUAAGUCAAAUCUGGACAAACAAAUUAAAACGAUCUGUGUGACAGCUUACAUAGCAGAGGCAGGUACCGUUCCAAACAUGGCACAUAGUAUUAACAGAACCAAAAGGACAUAGUAAGCAGAAAUAUACAUGACACUAUAGAAAGGAAAUUAAGUUCUAUGCAUUAACUAUGUCAAAAAUACUUACACAAUCAUAUCACUUAUUAAUAUGGGCGCACAGAGGUAGCCUUCAGCAUACCGAUUUGACAGAACCAAAUAGCUUUGGCUUAAACCAUGUAUAUGUGUUAACAAAUUCAUUAAAUAUGUAUACACAUUGAAUUUAGAAUUCAUUUACUAAUACUUCAGGUCGUUGUCCUAGAUUCUAGAACUCAUAAAGUUCAAAUCUUGAUCCACCUUUGCUUAUUAAGUAAUUACAAGUUAAUCUUUUGAUAAAACAACAAUAACAACAUACCCAAUGUUAUUCCACAAGUGAGGUCUGGCGAGGGUAAUGUGUUAUGCAUACCUUACCGCUACCAUAGUUCUACAUUGAAUGACCAAUGGAUAAUGAUAAGAGAUAUCAGUAUUGUAAGCUCAACAAAUCACAGGGUAGAGUUCAAGCCACACAAAGGAGGAAAAUAUUGGAUGGGUCCCUUUAGUAAACAUCUUGGAAAAUUGAUGGAUUGGAGAUUGGCAAGAUUGCAUUAAUUGCUACACAUAGUAUCUAGAUACCCAAUGAGAUCAUAGAUAUAGAUGUCAUUAGAUAAUUUGAACUUUUUCCCUCAUAACUACUCCCUAUAUAUGGUGAAUUAAUUCCCUAACUUCAUCUCAUCACAACCAACUUCAACAAUAUUUCAAACCCUCCAACACUUACUUUUCUCUUCAGAUAAAACCAUGGCAGCUGCUACAAUGGCUCUUUCUUCCCCUUCUUUUGCAGGACAGGCAGUGAAGCUUUCACCAUCUGCCUCAGAAAUUACUGGAAAUGGAAGGAUCACUAUGAGAAAGGCUGUCGCCAAGUCUGCCUCGUCUAGCAGCCCAUGGUAUGGACCAGACCGUGUUAAGUACUUGGGCCCAUUCUCUGGUGAGUCCCCAAGCUACUUGACCGGUGAAUUCCCUGGUGACUAUGGGUGGGACACCGCUGGACUUUCAGCAGAUCCAGAAACCUUUGCCAAGAACCGUGAGCUUGAGGUGAUCCACUGCAGAUGGGCUAUGCUUGGUGCUCUUGGAUGUGUCUUUCCUGAGCUCUUGGCCCGUAACGGUGUCAAGUUUGGCGAAGCUGUGUGGUUCAAGGCUGGAUCCCAAAUCUUCAGCGAGGGUGGACUUGACUACUUGGGGAACCCAAGCUUGGUCCAUGCACAAAGUAUUUUGGCCAUCUGGGCUUGCCAAGUUGUGCUGAUGGGAGCUGUUGAGGGAUACCGUAUUGCUGGUGGGCCUCUUGGUGAGGUUGUCGACCCACUAUACCCCGGUGGCAGCUUUGACCCAUUAGGUCUUGCUGAUGAUCCAGAGGCAUUUGCUGAGCUCAAGGUAAAGGAGAUUAAGAACGGUAGACUUGCUAUGUUCUCUAUGUUCGGAUUCUUUGUUCAAGCCAUUGUUACUGGAAAGGGUCCAUUGGAAAACCUUGCAGAUCACCUUGCAGACCCAGUUAACAACAACGCCUGGUCCUACGCCACAAACUUUGUCCCCGGAAAAUAAAAAUCUUAAAACAUUCUCAAGUUUCUGACCAUUUGAUGACCAUGUAAAGUUGUAAUUUGUGAGUUUACUUGACAAUAGAAUGAUUUUUUCUUAUAUCCUAUUCCAGUUAUGGUGUAGUCCUGAAUUCCAUUUUCCAAUGGCAUGAAUGAAAUGCUGCAAGUUUCAUAUCAAAGGGGAAAAACAGGUGACUGUUAAAAAAAAAACCAAUAUACAUUUGGGAUGUGGUAAAAGCUUAAAAGUUGAAUAUAGAGACCACUAGAGGAACUUAUGGAAUGCAAUCAGUUCUCAAGAAGCAAUACUCUUAACUUAGUGCCAACAGUAACAUGAUGAUUCCUUAUUUUUCAGUUUAGAAGUGAGAUGAAUUAAGAGGACAUAUGUUAUUUCACAACUACGUACGCCAUUGACAUAUCAAUGAUAAGGGAAAACCAAUGUAUAUGUUUUGUCUUCAGAACGCAGCAAGUAUUCUCUAUGUUUCAAUUUAAUCGUCUUACUUUCUUUUUUGACAAUACCUUGUUUAAAAUUUUCACUCAACAUGUUUAAGACCACAAGAUUAAAUAACGUUUUGGUGCAUUAUACUUAUCUUUAGUUUAAGACCAUUAGAUUAAAAAAUGUUCUUUACUUUCUUUAAUUCCGUGACAAGUCAAAACUAGACAAACAAAUUAAAAACGGAGCGAGUAAGAUAUACAAGUUUCCAGGCCAUGAAUGUACUUAUAUGUCCUUAAUUUGAUUAGCAUAUUUAAUUUGAACAAAUUCCUAACUUUCUUGUAUAGUCAUCUUUCCUUACAUGCAUGUCUGUGACAGCUUAUAUAACAGAGGCAGGUAUCCUUCCAAACAUGGCACAUAGUAAUGACCAGAGACAAAAGGACACAUAGUAAGCAGAAGAUAUACAUGACACUAUGGAAAGGAAAUUAAGUUCCAGGCAUUGACAUUGUCAAAAAUACUUGCACAAUCAUAUCACUUCAGAAGCGCGCAGAGGUAGCCUUCAUCAUACCGGUUAGACUAUACAAAAUAGCUUUGGCUUAAACCAUGUAUAUUUGUUAAGAAAUUCAUUAAAUAUGUAUACAACAUUUACUAAUACUUGAGGUCGUUGUCCUAGAUUCUAGAACUCAUAAAGUUCAAAUCUUGAUCAGCCUUUCCUUAUUAAGUAAUUACAAGCUAAUCUUUUGAUAAACAACACUAACAACAAAUCGAAUGUAAUCCCAUAAGUAAGGUCUGGGGAGAGUAAUGUGUUAGGCAGACCUUACCCUACCGUAUUUCUACAUUGAGUGAUAUAUAGUGCUGUUAGAUAAAAUCUAGAGAAAUUUCCAAUGGAUAAUGAUAAGAGAUAUCAUACUAUAAGCUCAACAAAUCACAGAAUAGAGUUCAAGCCUUGUAGCCAGUGGACAACAUUAGUUGGGUCCCCCUGUAAACAUCAUGGAAAAUUGAUGGACUAAAGAUUGCCAAGUUGCAUUACUUGCUACACAUGGGAUCUUGAUACCCAAUGAGAUUAUAAAUAUAGAUAUUACUAGAUAAGGACUCUUUCCCUCUUACUCCCUAUAUAUGGUGAAUUAAUUCAACACAUCACAGCAAACUUCAACAAUUUUCAUAUCAUCAAACACUUGCUUUUCUCUUAAUAUAAACACAAUGGCAGCUGCUACAAUGGCUCUUUCUUCCCCUUCUUUUGCUGGACAGGCAGUCAAACUUUCACCAUCUGCCUCAGAAAUCUCUGGAAAUGGAAGGAUCACUAUGAGAAAGGCUGUCUCCAAGUCUGCUCCAUCUAGCAGCCCAUGGUAUGGCCCUGACCGUGUUAAGUACUUGGGCCCAUUCUCUGGUGAGUCCCCAAGCUACUUGACUGGUGAAUUCCCUGGUGACUACGGGUGGGAUACUGCUGGACUUUCAGCAGACCCUGAAACCUUUGCCAAGAACCGUGAACUCGAGGUGAUCCACUGCAGAUGGGCUAUGCUUGGUGCUCUUGGAUGUGUCUUCCCUGAGCUCUUGGCCCGCAACGGUGUCAAGUUUGGUGAGGCUGUGUGGUUCAAGGCUGGAUCCCAGAUCUUCAGCGAGGGUGGACUUGACUACUUGGGCAACCCAAGCUUGGUCCAUGCUCAAAGCAUCUUGGCCAUUUGGGCUUGCCAAGUUGUGUUGAUGGGAGCCGUUGAGGGAUACCGUAUUGCAGGUGGACCUCUUGGUGAGGUUGUGGACCCACUAUACCCCGGUGGAAGCUUUGACCCAUUGGGUCUUGCUGAUGACCCAGAGGCAUUUGCUGAACUCAAGGUAAAGGAGAUCAAGAACGGCAGACUUGCUAUGUUCUCCAUGUUUGGAUUCUUUGUCCCCGGUGGAAGCUUUGACCCAUUGGGUCUUGCUGAUGACCCAGAGGCAUUUGCUGAACUCAAGGUAAAGGAGAUCAAGAACGGCAGACUUGCUAUGUUCUCUAUGUUUGGAUUCUUUGUUCAAGCCAUUGUUACCGGAAAGGGUCCAUUGGAGAACCUUGCUGAUCACCUUGCAGACCCAGUAAACAACAACGCCUGGGCCUUCGCCACAAACUUUGUUCCCGGAAAGUGAUCAUAAAAUGAUCUCAAAUUUUCAUGUAAAGUUGUUGUGAAUGAGUUGACAAUAGAAUGGAUUUUUCUUAUAUUCCAAUGAUUUUUAGUCCUGAAUUUUCAUUUUCUAAACCCGCGAUACGAAUCAAACACUAAAACUUUCAUUCCAAAAAGAAAAGAAAUAGAAUAAUGCCCUAAUGAACACUUUCGACGAUAUGGUAAUUAAAAAACCACAGUAAAGGUGUUUAUAGCUUAAAACUUCAAUUUGUAGAACAG
RNAcentral lists this long non-coding RNA (5273 nucleotides) under Solanum tuberosum (potato). Its description in RNAcentral is "long non-coding RNA (STUB_LNC000683)". Lineage: Eukaryota; Viridiplantae; Streptophyta; Magnoliopsida; Solanales; Solanaceae. The record is from RNAcentral.